This is a long non-coding RNA of Coregonus clupeaformis (lake whitefish), 707 nucleotides long. RefSeq lists it as uncharacterized. Lineage: Eukaryota; Metazoa; Chordata; Actinopteri; Salmoniformes; Salmonidae. The transcript has 4 exons. The record is from RefSeq and is a predicted model, not a curated record.
UACAGUCACGUCAAACAGUGCAGCCAGAAUAACAACAAAGUAGCUGCAAUUGUUUAAGCAGUUUUUUAGUGACAUUUAUUUGGAUACAUCCAUAACCAUGAGAUAAUGAGGUGCGAUUUCGCCUGGCAUGAAAAAUGUGCUCUCUCAUCCGGACAUUGUUGUUCAGAGGAGCUAGCCAACAACACAGUUAACACAAUUUCCUUUCCCGGGAGGUUUUUGUGUGAAUGUCCAGGGUUUCGCGGGAAAUUGUCCUUGAGCUUUUGAUCGGGAGUGUACCGUGUAAUAUUUACAGUCUGUUCCCACUCAAUGAUGACUUCUCCCAUCAAUCAAGGGUCUGCCUGUCUUGCCUUGACGCCCCGGGCCCUUAGGUCCUGCAGUUUCUGGGUCAGUGGGACCCAUAACUGUCACUCUUGCCCACGACAUGCUGGUGUCAGAUAUAACCCCAGACACCCUGGUGACAUUGGACAUCUCCCAACUUUAUGAACAUUUCAAGUAGAACAAAUCUUCCUAUUAGUAUUUUGGGAUUGUGGUGGUUAAUACAGGGUAGACAGACAAGUUCUCUACUUUCUACCCUUGUCACUUGCCUCCUUUUUUGCAGUAAUGCUGCAGUCACUUGGUUGCAUGUUGUCACGGUCGUUAAGAGACGGGUCAGACCAAGGCGCAGCGUGAAAUGCAUACAUGUUUAUUAAUCAAAAUAAACACACAAA